This 1473-nucleotide ribosomal RNA is filed under the name uncultured Glomus. RNAcentral describes it as "eukaryotic LSU rRNA". The stretch from base 693 to 1473 matches the Rfam family "Eukaryotic large subunit ribosomal RNA", at positions 1 to 694 of the family's 3401-position model. Lineage: Eukaryota; Fungi; Glomeromycota; Glomeromycetes; Glomerales; Glomeraceae. The record is from RNAcentral.
UCGCUCUUCAACGAGGAAUCCCUAGUAAGCACAAGUCACCAGCUUGUGCUGAUUACGUCCCUGCCCUUUGUACACACCGCCCGUCGCUACUACCGAUUGAAUGGCUUAGUGAGGCCCUCGGAUCGACUUUCUGAGACUGGCAACAGUCUUUGAUUGUUGAGAAGUUGGUCAAACUUGGUCAUUUAGAGGAAGUAAAAGUCGUAACAAGGUUUCCGUAGGUGAACCUGCGGAAGGAUCAUUACUGAUUUAGCGAACCGAGCAUUAGCGAGGUUUUGCGAUCACUUGUAUUUAAAACCCAACUCAUAUAAAAUAUGUAUAUUUUUGAAAAAUAAAAUUAAAGAUCACUUUCAACAACGGAUCUCUUGGCUCUCGCAUCGAUGAAGAACGUAGCGAAGUGCGAUAAGUAAUGUGAAUUGCAGAAUUCCGUGAAUCAUCGAAUCUUUGAACGCAAAUUGCACUUUCUGGUAUUCCGGAAAGUAUGCCUGUUUGAGGGUCAGUUAAAUAAAAAUCGGUGUUGUUGCUGCUAUUAGUGGUGAUGCAUCGGAAUUGAGUUGUUCUUUUGCCCUUUGGUAUAAGUGACUUAAAAUUUGUACGAUUUUUUGAACGUAUUUAAAUUAUUUACGUACGUUUAUAAUAUCAUAUAUUAGGUGCGGUCAUUCUUAUGAUUUCGCGCCUAUAAUUUUUUCAUUAUUUGACCUCAAAUCAGGUAAGAAUACCCGCUGAACUUAAGCAUAUCAAUAAGCGGAGGAAAAGAAAAUAACAAUGAUUCCCUUAGUAACGGCGAGUGAAGGGGGAUAAGCUCAAAUUUUAAAUCUGCUAGGUUUUACCUAUCAGAGUUGUAAUUUGAAGAAGCGUUUUCCGCGUCUCGGUUGACCCAAAUCCUUUGGGAUAUGGUAUCAUGGAGGGUGAGAAUCCCGUCCGGUUGACUUUGUGACGCUUUACGAUACGUUUUCAAAGAGUCGAGUUGUUUGGGAUUGCAGCUCAAAAUGGGAGGUAAAUUUCUCCUAAGGCUAAAUAUUGGCGAGAGACCGAUAGCGAACAAGUACCGUGAGGGAAAGAUGAAAAGAACUUUGAAAAGAGAGUUAAACAGUACGUGAAAUUGUUGAAAGGGAACCGUUUGGAAUCAGUCUUGUCGGCGAGAAAUCAGCCUGGCCUUGGCCGGGUGCACUUUCUCGUCGGCAGGUCAGCGUCAGUUUUGGCUGCCAGAAAAAGGCCAAGGGAAUGUGGCUCUUCGGAGUGUUAUAGCCCUUGGUCAACGUGGUGGCCGGGACUGAGGCCCGCAGCCAGCCGGUUCUUCCGGCGGGUGGCUCCUACGCUAGUUGCGGGCCCGCCGUGGACAGCUUGCUGACCACGACGGGACUUCGCAGCUACUCGUAGGAAGCCCUCUCCUCCUGGCUAAGGUCGCUGACUUAAUGAUUCCAAAUGACCCGUCUUGAAACACGGACCAAGGAGUCUAACAUGUAUGCGAGUGUU